AGCUAACUCUUUAGGUAGUAAUUAAACCAACAUAUGCUGGCGGUCUUUAUAAAUUAGAGAAACUCGCCUUAUAAUCGAAAAUACCCGAUAAUUUUUACUCAAUUAAAUUUAAUUAGCCUAUAUACCGCCGUUAUCAGAGCUUUCUAAAAUUUAAAUAUCACUUAAUAAUUAAACUUUAACAAAAAUCAGGUCAAGGUGUAGCCAAUAAUUGAGAAAAGGUAAGUUACAUUAAGAAUAACUUAAGAAUGCAAAACGUAACGUUACAGCUGAAAGAGAAUUUAUUUGUACUCCUAAGUUAAAAUCUGAGGCUGAAUUUCACAAUAAAGAUGC
This 330-nucleotide ribosomal RNA is filed under the name Pholcus ornatus. RNAcentral's name for it is "partial 12S ribosomal RNA". Lineage: Eukaryota; Metazoa; Arthropoda; Arachnida; Araneae; Pholcidae. The record is from RNAcentral.